RNAcentral lists this ribosomal RNA (500 nucleotides) under uncultured bacterium. RNAcentral's name for it is "partial 16S ribosomal RNA". It matches the Rfam family "Bacterial small subunit ribosomal RNA", at positions 30 to 523 of the family's 1533-position model. The record is from RNAcentral.
AUUGAACGCUGGCGGCAUGCCUUACACAUGCAAGUCGAACGGCGGCACGGGAGCAAUCCUGGUGGCGAGUGGCGAACGGGUGAGUAAUAUAUCGGAACGUGCCCAGUCGUGGGGGAUAACGCAGCGAAAGCUGUGCUAAUACCGCAUACGAUCUACGGAUGAAAGCGGGGGAUCGCAAAACCUCGCGCGAUUGGAGCGGCCGAUAUCAGAUUAGCUAGUUGGUGAGGUAAAGGCUCUCCAAGGCGACGAUCUGUAGCUGGUCUGAGAGGACGACCAGCCACACUGGAACUGAGACACGGUCCAGACUCCUACGGGAGGCAGCAGUGGGGAAUUUUGGACAAUGGGCGAAAGCCUGAUCCAGCAAUGCCGCGUGCAGGAUGAAGGCCUUCGGGUUGUAAACUGCUUUUGUACGGAACGAAACGGUGAGCUCUAAUACAGUUUGCUAAUGACGGUACCGUAAGAAUAAGCACCGGCUAACUACGUGCCAGCCGCCGCGGUAA